UCACAGCAUAGCACACUCCUUUGUCCCCUCUCUCCCCUCCCUCUUUCCCUGUCUCCCUCCCUUCCUCACUCCCUCUGUUUUUCCUCUCUCUCUCCCCUCCUUCUCUCGGUCUCCCUCCCCCUCUGUUUUUCCUCUCUCCUUUGUCUCUCCCCUCCCUCUCUCCCUCCCUUCCUGUUUUUCCUCUCCUUUGUCCCCCCUCUCUGUCUCUCUUUUCCCUCUCUCUCUCCUCUGUCCUUUCUUUCUUUCUUUCUCUUUCUCCUUUCCUCUUUGUUCUCUUAGCUCUCUUAGCUCUCCGACCUGACCUCACCUCUCCUCUCUCUCUCUUUCCUUCCUUCCUUCUUUCUUUCUUUCUUUCUUUCUUUCCUUCCUUCCUUCCUUCCCUCCCUCCCUCCCUCCCUCCCUCCUCUUCCACCCCAGCUUUCGUGCCAAUCGCAGAAAAGCCGCCUGGGCUUCCCACGAGCGAGUUCCUUCCAGGAGAGGGCAGCCGCGCCACCGCGGAAAUAAAACUCCAGAGCCAAUCCAGACGAGCGCAGAGAGGCGAGAAAGCAAGCAGUGCGAAGCGUUUCGGCUCCCGAGUUCUCCGGCCACAGCAGCUCAAACGUGGUGCUUCCCUCCUCUGCCGUUUUCCUACAACAGCCCUGCGAGGGAGGUUGGAGAGAGAGAGAGAGAGAGAAUGAGAAUGAACAGAAGGAUUCACAAUGGGCUGGGGAAGGAGAACGGCUUUGUCACCUUUUGGAAUCCAAACUGGAAGAGAGGAGGAAAGGUAAUAAGGAGAGCAAGUUGUUGUUUGUCAUAGUCUGGUGCAGAAUUAGAACUUAGAAUAACUUUAUUGUCCAUAUGGAAAACUCCAAAUACCCCUAAGGAAGAAUUGACAAUAAAGUAACAGAAAGUGCUGAGAUGAACAUGUUAACACUGAAACUGAAACUGAAAGAAAAAGAUGACUCUGAAUUCUUUUUAAUUUGGAAUAAUUGGCAUCAAUGUUUAACAAACAGAACUAAGAAGUGAGACAAGAAACCUAACUGGAGUAAUCCUUAAGAGAGUAAAAUAUAACUUUGUAAAUUAUACAAAGAUACAAGGAUAGUAAUUAUAGUUGAAGUUAUCAGUUAAUAUUAGACAAAUGUAAUAUAAUGUAUUACGAUAUUUAAAACAAGAACCUGUAUGGAUGCCAAGAAUGCUGUCAAAACCAUGAUGUUUUAGAUGUAAU
This 1204-nucleotide long non-coding RNA is filed under the name Laticauda laticaudata (blue-ringed sea krait). RNAcentral's name for it is "lncRNA (ENSLLTG00000014177.1)". Lineage: Eukaryota; Metazoa; Chordata; Lepidosauria; Squamata; Elapidae. The record is from RNAcentral.